AUACGGAGGAUGCAAGCGUUAUCCGGAUUUAUUGGGUUUAAAGGGUGCGUAGGCGGGACUGUAAGUCAGGGGUGAAAUACUGCAGCUUAACUGUAGCAUUGCCUUUGAAACUGCCGUUCUUGAGUACGGUUGAGGUAGGCGGAAUGUGGUGUGUAGCGGUGAAAUGCAUAGAUAUACCACAGAACGCCGAUUGCGAAGGCAGCUUACUAAGCUGUUACUGACGCUGAGGCACGAAAGCGUGGGGAUCAAACAGGAUUAGAUACCCUGGUAGUCCACGCUGUAUACGAUGAUUGCUGGUUGUUAGCGAUAUAUAGCUAGUGACUGAGCGAAAGCAUUAAGUAAUCCACCUGGGGAGUACGUCGGCAACGAUGAAACUCAAAUGAAUUGACGGGG
RNAcentral lists this ribosomal RNA (393 nucleotides) under uncultured bacterium. RNAcentral's name for it is "partial 16S ribosomal RNA". It matches the Rfam family "Bacterial small subunit ribosomal RNA", at positions 523 to 918 of the family's 1533-position model. The record is from RNAcentral.